This 882-nucleotide ribosomal RNA is filed under the name uncultured Chaetothyriales. RNAcentral describes it as "SSU rRNA". It matches the Rfam family "Eukaryotic small subunit ribosomal RNA", at positions 238 to 1125 of the family's 1831-position model. The record is from RNAcentral. Lineage: Eukaryota; Fungi; Ascomycota; Eurotiomycetes; Chaetothyriales.
GCUCCUUGGUGAUUCAUAAUAACUUAACGAAUCGCAUGGCCUUGCGCCGGCGAUGGUUCAUUCAAAUUUCUGCCCUAUCAACUUUCGAUGGUAGGAUAGUGGCCUACCAUGGUCUUAACGGGUAACGGGGAAUUAGGGUUCGAUUCCGGAGAGGGAGCCUGAGAAACGGCUACCACAUCCAAGGAAGGCAGCAGGCGCGCAAAUUACCCAAUCCCGAUCCGGGGAGGUAGUGACAAUAAAUACUGAUACGGGGCUCUUUCGGGUCUCGUAAUUGGAAUGAGUACAAUCUAAAUCCCUUAACGAGGAACAAUUGGAGGGCAAGUCUGGUGCCAGCAGCCGCGGUAAUUCCAGCUCCAAUAGCGUAUAUUAAAGUUGUUGCCGUUAAAAAGCUCGUAGUUGAACCUUGGACCUGGCUGAUCUGUCCUCCUAAUCGAGCGCACGGAUUCGGUCGGGUCUUUCCUUCUGGGGAGCCCCAUGCCCUUCGCUGGGUGUGUUGGGGAACCAGGACUUUUACCUUGAAAAAAUUAGAGUGUUCAAAGCAGGCCUUUGCUCGAAUACAUUAGCAUGGAAUAAUAGAAUAGGACGUCGGUUCUAUUUUGUUGGUUUCUAGGACCGCUGUAAUGAUUAAUAGGGACAGUCGGGGGCGUCAGUAUUCAAUUGUCAGAGGUGAAAUUCUUGGAUUUAUUGAAGACUAACUACUGCGAAAGCAUUCGCCAAGGAUGUUUUCAUUAAUCAGUGAACGAAAGUUAGGGGAUCGAAGACGAUCAGAUACCGUCGUAGUCUUAACCAUAAACUAUGCCGACUAGGGAUCGGACGGUGGUUUUUUUAUGCCCCGUUCGGCACCUUACGAGAAAUCAAAGUUUUUGGGCUCGGGGGGGAGUA